RNAcentral lists this ribosomal RNA (450 nucleotides) under uncultured Glomeromycotina. Its description in RNAcentral is "SSU rRNA". It matches the Rfam family "Eukaryotic small subunit ribosomal RNA", at positions 569 to 1023 of the family's 1831-position model. Lineage: Eukaryota; Fungi; Glomeromycota. The record is from RNAcentral.
AGCAGCCGCGGUAAUUCCAGCUCCAAUAGCGUAUAUUAAAGUUGUUGCAGUUAAAAAGCUCGUAGUUGAAUUUCGGGGCCAGUAGGUUGGUCGUGCCACUGGUAUGCACUGUCCUCACUGGUCCCUCCUUCUUGUAGAACCGUGAUGGCAUUAAUUUGUUGUUGCGGGGAAACAGGACUGUUACUUUGAAAAAAUUAGAGUGCUUAAAGCAGGCUCGCGCUUGAAUACAUUAGCAUGGAAUAACGAAAUAGGACGAUCGAACCUAUUUUGUUGGUUUCUAGGAUCGACGUAAUGAUUAAUAGGGAUAGUUGGGGGCAUUAGUAUUCAAUUGUCAGAGGUGAAAUUCUUGGAUUUAUUGAAGACUAACUACUGCGAAAGCAUUUGCCAAGGAUGUUUUCAUUAAUCAAGAACGAAAGUUAGGGGAUCGAAGACGAUCAGAUACCGUCGUAG